RNAcentral lists this ribosomal RNA (497 nucleotides) under uncultured bacterium. Its description in RNAcentral is "partial 16S ribosomal RNA". It matches the Rfam family "Bacterial small subunit ribosomal RNA", at positions 28 to 507 of the family's 1533-position model. The record is from RNAcentral.
GAUGAACGCUGGCGGCGUGCCUAAUACAUGCAAGUCGAGCGAACAGACGAGGAGCUUGCUCCUCUGACGUUAGCGGCGGACGGGUGAGUAACACGUGGAUAACCUACCUAUAAGACUGGGAUAACUUCGGGAAACCGGAGCUAAUACCGGGUAAUAUAUUUAACCGCAUGGUUCAAUAGUGAAAGACGGUUUUGCUGUCACUUAUAGAUGGAUCCGCGUCGCAUUAGCUAGUUGGUAAGGUAACGGCUUACCAAGGCAACGAUGCGUAGCCGACCUGAGAGGGUGAUCGGCCACACUGGAACUGAGACACGGUCCAGACUCCUACGGGAGGCAGCAGUAGGGAAUCUUCCGCAAUGGGCGAAAGCUUGACGGAGCAACGCCGCGUGAGUGAUGAAGGUCUUCGGAUCGUAAAACUCUGUUAUUAGGGAAGAACAAAUGUGUAAGUAACUAUGCACGUCUUGACGGUACCUAAUCAGAAAGCCACGGCUAACUACGUG